CUUUCCUGCCUUUGGGUAGGGGAACCACCCCUGCAUCCCCUCUCCACUGAAAGCUGUUUUCAUCACUCAAUAAAACUCCCCACCCAGGCCGAGUGGGCAGGCCAUCUCCUGCAGCAGGUAGUGUGGCCCACUGAGGCCUGGGCAGGGUGUCACCAGCCAGAGGUUCCUGGCUUACAAAGUGAUGGAGAAAAAAUCCUGUGUCACUGGGCCUUGAUUUCCACACCCUUGUUAAAUGGGAGUGUCAGAUGAGAGGAUAAUUCUUUCCAGUCUUGAAUGAAUUCCUUGCUCACUUUUUUGUAAUCCCAUAGGCUGUAUUAAUAUGUUAGUGUUUAUCUUGAGCUGAAAUUAUCAUUAACAAAUUUUUGAGACAGGAUAAUCUUUGGAGAUCCAUCUGAUCUGGGCCUGAAAUAACUUUUUUUUUUUUUUUUUUGAGACGGAGUUUCACUCUUGUUGCCCAGGCUGGAAUGCAGUGACACGAUCUCAGCUCAUUGCAACCUCUGCCUCCUGGGUUCAAGCAAUUCUCCUGCCUCAGCCUCCUGAGUAGCUGGGAUUACAGAAGCCUGCCACCACGCCCUGCUAAUUUUUGUAUUUUUAGUAGAGAUGGGGUUUCACCAUGUUGGCCAGGCUGAUGGUCUCGAACUCCUGACCUCAGGUGAUUCGGCCUCCUCGGCCUCCCCUCAAAGUGCUGGGAUUACAGGAGUGAGCCACCGUGCCCAGCCGAAAUAACUUUUAUGAACAUUCAUGAAGUUCAGAGGGGACCAAUUUCCUGCAAAUGUCAAAAUUGGGAGCCACAUGACAGUGAAUUAUGACUUCUCCCAUCUUCCAGUGAAAAAUUGAAGAGAUGAAAGUCCUGCACUGAUGACUAAUGGAUUUACUAGUCUCUGAAAAAACAGAUUUAAGAGUUCUUUCCUUGCUUUUCCAGAAAAGUAAAAAUCAGUAAAACCUCCCAGAGGAAUAACUGGGGGUAAAGGGUAUAGCCAAUUUGGCUUGCUAAAAUCCAGGCUUCUUUUUAGGUAAAAUGCAUGUUUAUGGG
This 1033-nucleotide long non-coding RNA is filed under the name Homo sapiens (human). RNAcentral's name for it is "LHRI_LNC1118.1". The record is from RNAcentral. Lineage: Eukaryota; Metazoa; Chordata; Mammalia; Primates; Hominidae.